CCUACGGGAGGCAGCAGUGAGGAAUCUUGGUCAAUGGGCGCGAGCCUGAACCAGCCAAGUCGCGUGAGGGAAGACGGUCCUAUGGAUUGUAAACCUCUUUUGUCGGGGAGCAAAAGACGCCACGCGUGGCGUUCCGAGAGUACCCGAAGAAAAAGCAUCGACUAACCCCGUGCCAGCAGCCGCGGUAAUACGGAGGAUGCGAGCGUUAUCCGGAUUUAUUGGGUUUAAAGGGUGCGCAGGCGGAAGAUCAAGUCAGCGGUAAAAUUGAGAGGCUCAACCUCUUCGAGCCGUUGAAACUGGUUGUCUUGAGUGAGCGAGAGGUAUGCGGAAUGCGUGGUGUAGCGGUGAAAUGCAUAGAUAUCACGCAGAACUCCGAUUGCGAAGGCAGCAUACCGGCGCUCAACUGACGCUCAUGCACGAAAGUGUGGGUAUCGAACAGGAUUAGAUACCCUUGUAGUC
RNAcentral lists this ribosomal RNA (459 nucleotides) under uncultured bacterium. RNAcentral's name for it is "partial 16S ribosomal RNA". It matches the Rfam family "Bacterial small subunit ribosomal RNA", at positions 338 to 795 of the family's 1533-position model. The record is from RNAcentral.